GCAGCGAAGCUUAGAGCACACAGGGGUGUGGAGUCAGCCAGACGGGCCCUGAUGGGAGGACGCAGCGCCCAGGCUGGGCUCGGGACGAGGAUCACGCCGAUGAUGGAGCUGAAGCCCAACGCAGGUAGCGACCGUGCCUGGGUCUGGAACACCCACGCUGACUUCGCCGAUGAGUGCCCCAAACCAGAGCUGCUGGCCAUCCGCUUCCUGAAUGCUGAGAAUGCACAGAAAUUCAAAACAAAGUUUGAAGAAUGCAGGAAAGAGAUCGAAGAGAGAGAAAAGAAAGCAGGAUCAGGCAAAAACGAUCAUGCUGAAAAAGUGGCGGAAAAGCUAGAAGCUCUCUCGGUGAAGGAGGAGACCAAGGAGGAUGCUGAGGAGAAGCAAUAAAUCGUCUUAUUUUAUUUUCUUUUCCUCUCUUUCCUUUCCUUUUUUUAAAAAAAUUUUACCCUGCCCCUCUUUUUCGGUUUGUUUUUAUUCUUUCAUUUUUACAAGGGACGUUAUAUAAAGAACUGAAUUCAACAUUCAGAUUGUUUUUUUUUUUGUUUCUAAGUUUUUGCCCUAUUGAAGAUGACUUCAGAAAAUCCAUUCCCCAGUCAUGAAAAUGUACUGUGCUAACUUUCUUUUCCAUAGUGGAAACACUUAUUUAUAGUCAUCAAAAAUAGUGAAUAAAAAACACAUUUGGAACCUG
Molecule: small RNA, 688 nt
Filed under: Pongo abelii (Sumatran orangutan)
Lineage: Eukaryota; Metazoa; Chordata; Mammalia; Primates; Hominidae
Description: processed transcript
Source: RNAcentral